Canis lupus familiaris (dog) is the source of this 687-nucleotide long non-coding RNA. RefSeq lists it as uncharacterized. NCBI's taxonomy places the organism in Eukaryota, Metazoa, Chordata, Mammalia, Carnivora, Canidae. The transcript is spliced from 4 exons. The record is from RefSeq and is a predicted model, not a curated record.
GGGAAGCCGCGCCGGUCCGGGCGGGAGGGCGGAGUGUGAGCUCGUUCGGGCGCGCCCGGGACGGAGCUCCUGCCCUAGAGGACGUCCUGAGCUAGGCCAGGGCCCGGGGUAGGGCCGAGCCCAGGGGCCCUCGGGAGAACCGGCCGUGCCGCCGUCCACGCACAGGCGACCCCUGAUUCUCCUGGGUCCCGUCCCCUGCGGCCCAGUGUCAUCGUUCGGGCUGAUGUAUCUGAGCCAGGGGACCUCCAGGGAAGGUUGAUGUCCACAGCCAGGCAGAAACAGAGAAAACAGCACCCCUCCUUUCCCCCCCGGGGUGUGAGAGGAGGAAACUGAAGCUCAGACGGUAAGGUGCAUGUGACAUCUGUCAUCAUCAAGCACCAGUGAGCCCCUACUUCUUCACAGCAAUUCUUUGCUACUGACCGAGGAUGUAAGCUCGAUGAAGGCAAAGCUAUCAAGGGAUCUUCGCCUUCCUUUCGGAUGCACCGCCAGCCCUUGGAACCGCCCGUGGCAUUUUUUUUUUUUCCCGCCCGUGGCAUUUUGCCAGCGCUCAGUCAAUCUGCGUCCGGUGAAGGGACGAGCGGAUACGAGACGCAGGACUGCGGGCGGCAGCCUCCGGGCUUCCGCGAGCUCCCGGGGACCGCUCGAGGGCGGGCACGCGUUCAAGGUCCGGGGCGCGGCCGCAGCAAG